Molecule: long non-coding RNA, 2502 nt
Organism: Hyla sarda
Lineage: Eukaryota; Metazoa; Chordata; Amphibia; Anura; Hylidae
Exons: 2
Source: RefSeq, a predicted model, not a curated record
AACUGCCGAGCCGAGAAGUUCGUGACGAAUCGAAUUUACUGUAAAUUCGCUCAUCUCUAGUUAAUUUGAGAACAAUCACUGUAUUGCUUUACUCCCCUGCAGGUUGGGUUUAUAAUCUUUUGCCUUUAAACAUAUACAGAUUUAUUUUCUUUUUUAUGAGGUUUCGUUUUGUGCCUUUUUACUUUGAUUUGGCCCUUUCUUUGGGUUUGUUAUUCAGACAGUGAGAAUCGGCCUUGUUUUAAUCUGUAUUCUAGCACUUUUUGGUUGUGCCUUUUUUAUUUUAUUUUUGAGCCUUUUGCUGGCUUAUGUAGACCAUAGAUUUACCUGUUUUAAGGGGCUUUUUAAAAAAGAAAGUGACAUUUUACCAGCUACUCUGUAGUAUUGAGCCUGUUCACACAAGAGCAAAUAGAAGUGAACUGAAUCACUAUAGAACAGUGGUCCGCAGGUUGAAAGACACUGCUAUUGAAGGUAAAAAAUUUUUUUUAAAAAGUGUUUGAUAUUGUGGGUUUGGUUGCAUUAGUGUGCGCUCCUAGAGCUGGUUCUAUGGCAUAUGUACAGUAUUGCAUAUAGGGGGUUAUAUAUGCACUUUUUAAUUUUUUGUUUAUUUUUCCCCAAUUCAAUGUCAAAAAUAUUGUACAAUUUUAUACAAUGCACUUCUGAUUGCUGUACUGAAAUACUGCAACAGCAAGAAACGCCAUUAAGACACUGUUCACACUAACAGUUUAAAGUGACUGCCCCCUAUUGAGUCCAGUUUUGUUUUUAACUAUAUAGGUUCUAAACUAAGGGAACAUGUCAUCUCUUUCAUACAGGGAAAAACUUUUUUUUUAUAUAUCAACUGAUUCCAGAAAGUUAAACAGAUUUGUAAAUUACUUCUAUUAAAAAAAUCUUAAUCCUUUCAGUACUUAUGUUCUUUUCUGUCUAUGUGCUCUCUGAUGACACGUGUCUCGGGAAACGCCCAGUUUAGAAGCAAAUCCCCAUAGCAAACGUCUUCUAAACUGGGCGGUUCCCGAGACACGUGUCAUCAGAGAUUACUUAGAAAGAAAAGAACAACCUAAACUUCAGAAGCUCAUAAGUACUGAAAGGAUUAAGAUUUUUUAAUAGAAGUAAUUUACAAAUCUGUUUAACUUUCUGGAGCCAGUUGAUAUAUAUAAAAAAAUUUUUUUUCCUGGAUAACCCCUUUAAAACACAAGUCACUGGAUGGUCCCUGGAGGCUUUACCCCCCCGAAACCUUGAUUGAUAGAUCUCCUCUUGUUUGGGUACAAAGUUAUCAAGACUAGUGGGGUGCGGGGAAGCUACAGGUGACCAACCUAUGGGAGCAAUGACAGGUUCCCUUCAAAUCAUAGGGUAGGUGAUAAUUGUGUGAUGGCUACUUAUCACUGCAAGAACAGGGCAGUCUGUCUGAGCCCUAUAGGAAUAAAAAAAAAAAAUACAUAUGUAUUAUUAUUUUUUUUAAUCAACUGGUGCCAGAAAGUGAAACCAAUUUGUAAAUUACUUUUUAUUUAAAAAUCUUAAUCCUUCCAGUACUUAUCACCUGCUGUAUACUACAGAGGAAGUUCUUUUCUUUUUUAAUCUCUUUUCUGUCUGACCACAGUGCUCUCUGCUGACACCUCUGUCCAUGUCAAGAACUGUUCAGAGCAGGAAUAAUUCCCCAAAGCAAACCUAUCCUGCUCUGGACGGUUCCUGACAUGGACAGACGUGUCAGCAGAGAGCACUGUGGUCAGACUGAAUUUUAUUUUUUCAAAAGAAAAGAACUUCCGCUGUAGUAUACAGCAACUGAUAAGUACUGGAAGGAUUAAGAUUUUUAAAUAGAAAUCAUUUACAUGUCUGCUGUUAACUUUCUGGCACCAGUUGAUUAAAAAUUUUUUUUUCCACCAGAGUACCCCUUUUAAGGACCCAAUAAGGGGCUGGUGUGAACUGGGCCUAACCAGUCUGUUGCACAGCUAGUCCAUGUAACCUAGACUGCUAUCAGACAUGUUGGUGAAGAUUUGAUGCUGAUUGUCGUUUCUAUUAUCACUUUUAGGGUACGUUCACACGAGCGGAUGUACAGCAUAUUUUACGCUACGGAUCCGCUGGUGAAGGCCCCGCUCUAUGCUGUCUUUACAUGUACCUGCUGGUAGCGGCAAUACACCGCGACGAGCGGACACACUGCAGAGAUGUGCGCGGCGUACUCGCACAUCGCGGCCACUCUCCCUGCUCUGAGGUAGGCAGAGAGCUCCCGCGAUGUGCGAGUAUACGGCGACUCGCAGUGUGUCUAGUGUCAGUGUGCUAUGAGCAGGCACAUGUAAAGACAGCAUAGAGCGGGGCCUUCACCAGCGGAUCCGUAGCGAAAUAUGCUGCGAAAAACCGCUCGUGUGAACGAACUCUUGAAUAGAAUUGUAUCACAGAUCCGUGUGUGAUUUCAGGGCCGCUCACAUCUGCAUCCUGUCACAUCCACCUUUAUUUGUAGAUGACGAAUUAUUGCAACUUAAAAAUAAUUAUCAUUAAAUUUGGAUUCUGAGAUCA